AUGAAACUAAAAUUCUGCGUUCAGAAGUUAAUCUCCUUGAAUGGCGAGCUUUUAUUCUACAUUUAUCUGGUCAUUCUUGUUGCACUUGUCAUUAACUCUGAAAAGGAAUUCAUGCAAUACAAUUCGUUGCACCUUGUAGUCAUUGCUGCCAAAUCUGUAUUAUAUUAUAAAGCAGUUGGAAAGGAACAUUGGAAAUGGAUCAAUAUGUUGUUCUAUAUUUCAAUGAUGAGAUUCAUCAGUACUAUUUUCACUCAUCGUUAUUUCAUGUGUUUUCUGAUAUUGUGCGUUGACUAUUUGAUGGUAUUUAUGUUGCAGUAUUGUCAUGUUACUUGUUUGAUUGUGCUUCAAUUGUAUACUUCUCAGAAGUUAUUAUUGGUUCCUUGUCCUCUCAAUUACACUUUGCCAUGCUGA
Molecule: ribosomal RNA, 411 nt
Filed under: Triticum aestivum (bread wheat)
Lineage: Eukaryota; Viridiplantae; Streptophyta; Magnoliopsida; Poales; Poaceae
Description: partial small subunit ribosomal RNA
Source: RNAcentral